UUUCUUGAUUAGUGGCGCACGGGUGAGUAAUGCAUAGAUAAUGUGCCCCUUAGUUCGGGAUAGCCACUGGAAACGGUGAUUAAUACCGGAUACUCCUUCUUGUUAUAAGACAAGUCGGGAAAGUUUUUCGCUAAGGGAUCAGUCUAUGUUCCAUCAGCUUGUUGGUGAGGUAAUGGCUCACCAAGGCUAUGACGGAUAUCUGGUUUGAGAGGAUGAUCAGACACACUGGAACUGAGACACGGUCCAGACUCCUACGGGAGGCAGCAGUGAGGAAUAUUGCACAAUGGAGGAAACUCUGAUGCAGCAACGCCGCGUGGAGGAUGACGCAUUUCGGUGUGUAAACUCCUUUUAUUAGGGAAGAUAAUGACGGUACCUAAUGAAUAAGCACCGGCUAACUCCGUGCCAGCAGCCGCGGUAAUACGGAGGGUGCAAGCGUUACUCGGAAUCACUGGGCGUAAAGGGUGCGUAGGCUGGCUUUUAAGUCAGAUGUGAAAUCCAAUGGCUCAACCAUUGAACUGCAUUUGAAACUGAAAGCCUAGAGUUCAGAAGGGGCAGAUGGAAUUAGUGGUGUAGGGGUAAAAUCCGUAGAUAUCACUAGGAAUAUCAAAAGCGAAGGCGAUCUGCUGGGAUGAUA
RNAcentral lists this ribosomal RNA (634 nucleotides) under uncultured bacterium. RNAcentral's name for it is "bacterial SSU rRNA". It matches the Rfam family "Bacterial small subunit ribosomal RNA", at positions 84 to 739 of the family's 1533-position model. The record is from RNAcentral.